Molecule: ribosomal RNA, 345 nt
Filed under: Triticum aestivum (bread wheat)
Lineage: Eukaryota; Viridiplantae; Streptophyta; Magnoliopsida; Poales; Poaceae
Description: partial small subunit ribosomal RNA
Source: RNAcentral
AUGAACGAAAAAAUUCAAAAAAAAAAACAACGUUCUCGCGCCUAUCUCGAAAGGAAAAAAAAGUGCCUAUUGCAACGUCUGCUUCCUCUUUCUCGCGAAAAAGAAAAAGGGAAAACGUCUGCUUCCUCUGUUUUUCUAUGGCAAGAUCGAUCCAACGCCACGUGCCCAUGCCCCCUGCAACUUGCGUUUGCAUAUACUCCUACUAUUGUCCCAUCUGGCCAUCUCGAUGGUGGCUGUGCUCGUGCCCCUGCAACUUGCAUUGCAUAUACUGUGUAUGUUGUCCCAUCUCGACAUCUCAAUCGUGGCUGUACUCGUGGUGCAUACAUGUACGUCGUACGUCGGUAG